This 299-nucleotide long non-coding RNA is filed under the name Pan troglodytes (chimpanzee). RNAcentral's name for it is "lincRNA". The record is from RNAcentral. Lineage: Eukaryota; Metazoa; Chordata; Mammalia; Primates; Hominidae.
GCUUAUAGUCCCAGCUACUCAGGAGGCUGAAGUGGGAGGAUCGCUUGAGCCUGGGAGGCAAAGGCUUGCAGUGAGCCCAGAUUGCACCACUGCACUCUAGCCUGGGUGACAGAGUGAGACUGUGUCUCAAAAAAAAAAAAAACAAAAACACCAGACACAUUUCGAUAGAAACAUUACUGUAUACGGUAUUAAAAUUAUGUGUUAACAUUUGAUCACCAAAGGAAAUAUAAGCAUUAUUGCAUUCUAUCUUUUAGUAUUGUUAAAUUUCUUUAUUUAGUCGAUGUUGUAUUAAAGUUAAA